UCUCUCUCUCUCUCUCUCUCUCUCUCUCUCUCUCUCUCUCUCUGUCAAAUGUGCAGGUAUGGCAAUCCAUGGAAGUAAUGUUUGGCAGAGCAAAGGACUGACUUGUGUUCCUUGUUGAUAACAAACAAACAUGAGCAGGCAGGGUGUAGUAAUGUUUUGAUGCUACACUGAUGCAUUGACAAAUAAUAAUCAUAAAUGGUUUAUUAAUAAUCCAGUUAGGACUAAAUUUAUAUUGUACUGAAUAAAAAAUAAAAUGUGAUAAAUAUACGCUUAAAAUUAGGAUCUUAUUAACUAAGGUGGUAUUACAGGAGGAGGAGAAAGUUUUGUAUUGCUGUACAGGAGGAGGAAGAGAUUUUGUGUUGCUGGCAAGAGGAAGAGAUUUUGUGUUGCUGGGAAGGGGAAGAAGAAAUUUUGGGCAGUGAUGGAGAAUGUGGGUCCCUCCUGGCUGGGUCCUGCACCCUGGUGGUAUGAGUUGCCAGUGCUGCAUCUCUGCUUCAGUACUGCCAUGCCAGGGUCGUGCGCUGGUGCUGCUGGAAGUUAUUAGGGUUUUGAGGAGUUAUCUUGCUGUCCAGCCAGCCACUCCCGUACGUUAAGAGCUCAUGGUUCAUGGUGACUGAUCUCUGGGUAGGACUGAGGCUCAUGUGCCACACACCGUUACAGCCAGGCCACAACCCUCAUCUCUCAUCCCGUAUCUACAAUACUUGCUGCUGGCAUUCAAGAGCAAGGGAGUGAGGAGAAAAGCUUAGGUCCAGUCUGCUGUCUGUGCAUCAAGCCUGAGCUGGUCUGCUCCCACGAUGCAGUGUGUGGCAGUGUUAGCAGACACGGCUCUUGUCUGCACCUCAUCCUCUUAAAGAUAUGAGGUGGUAUGAGCACUGGGAUAAGAUGAAGAGCGUACGCAGCAAGUUUGUGGAUGUUUUGCGGCUGCACGUGCGGGGUGGAGCGGGGGGCAUGGGUCUGCUGUGCCUCAGGGGAGUGGGUGGCGCAGGGGGUGACGUGUAUGUGGAGGGGAAGGAAGGUGAGGCACGGAGACACUGUGUCUGUUGUGAUGGGAAGUGACAUAGAGAGACUAUGUUUGUUAUGACAGGAAGUGAGGCAUGGCAUUUAAACACUGUUAUGACAGGGAAUGAGGCUUGCAAACUUCCUUCUCACCCUGCUCUCCCUCUCACAGACCACUUCUCACCCUGCUCUCCCUCUCACAGACCACUUCUCACCCUGCUCUCCCUCUCACAGACCACUUCUCACCCUGCUCUCUCUCACAGACCACUUCUCACCCUGCUCUCCCUCUCACAGACCACUUCUCA
Long non-coding RNA from Scylla paramamosain (green mud crab), 1301 nucleotides. RefSeq lists it as uncharacterized. NCBI's taxonomy places the organism in Eukaryota, Metazoa, Arthropoda, Malacostraca, Decapoda, Portunidae. The transcript has 4 exons. The record is from RefSeq and is a predicted model, not a curated record.